CCUACGGCGGCAGCAGUGGGGAAUAUUGGACAAUGGGCGAAAGCCUGAUCCAGCCAUGCCGCGUGUGUGAAGAAGGCCUUCGGGUUGUAAAGCACUUUCAGUGGGGAAGAAAGCCUUGGGGCUAAUACCCUCGAGGAAGGACAUCACCCACAGAAGAAGCACCGGCUAACUCCGUGCCAGCAGCCGCGGUAAUACGGAGGGUGCGAGCGUUAAUCGGAAUUACUGGGCGCAAAGCGCGCGUAGGCGGUCUGAUAAGCCGGUUGGGAAAGCCCCGGGCUCAACCUGGGAACGGCAUCCGGAACUGUCAGGCUAGAGUGCAGGAGAGGAAGGUAGAAUUCCCGGUGUAGCGGUGAAAUGCGUAGAGAUCGGGAGGAAUACCAGUGGCGAAGGCGGCCUUCUGGACUGACACUGACGCUGAGGUGCGAAAGCGUGGGUAGCAAACAGGAUUAGAUACCCGAGUAGUC
This 464-nucleotide ribosomal RNA is filed under the name Vreelandella stevensii. RNAcentral's name for it is "partial 16S ribosomal RNA". It matches the Rfam family "Bacterial small subunit ribosomal RNA", at positions 338 to 795 of the family's 1533-position model. The record is from RNAcentral. Lineage: Bacteria; Pseudomonadati; Pseudomonadota; Gammaproteobacteria; Oceanospirillales; Halomonadaceae.